RNAcentral lists this ribosomal RNA (425 nucleotides) under uncultured bacterium. Its description in RNAcentral is "partial 16S ribosomal RNA". It matches the Rfam family "Bacterial small subunit ribosomal RNA", at positions 354 to 796 of the family's 1533-position model. The record is from RNAcentral.
GUGGGGAAUAUUGCACAAUGGGCGAAAGCCUGAUGCAGCGACGCCGCGUGAGCGAUGAAGUAUUUCGGUACGUAAAGCUCUAUCAGCAGGGAAGAUAAUGACGGUACCUGACUAAGAAGCACCGGCUAAAUACGUGCCAGCAGCCGCGGUAAUACGUAUGGUGCAAGCGUUAUCCGGAUUUACUGGGUGUAAAGGGAGCGUAGGCGGCGUGGUAAGUCAGAAGUGAAAGCCCGGGGCUCAACCGCGGGACUGCUUUUGAAACUAUCAUGCUAGAGUGUCGGAGAGGUAAGUGGAAUUCCUAGUGUAGCGGUGAAAUGCGUAGAUAUUAGGAGGAACACCAGUGGCGAAGGCGGCUUACUGGACGAUAACUGACGCUGAGGCUCGAAAGCGUGGGGAGCAAACAGGAUUAGAAACCCUGGUAGUCC